This 26-nucleotide non-coding RNA is filed under the name Cricetulus griseus (Chinese hamster). Lineage: Eukaryota; Metazoa; Chordata; Mammalia; Rodentia; Cricetidae. The record is from RNAcentral.
GUGGGGACGCCUCGGUAGAGAAGACG